Molecule: small nuclear RNA, 163 nt
Organism: Suncus etruscus (white-toothed pygmy shrew)
Lineage: Eukaryota; Metazoa; Chordata; Mammalia; Eulipotyphla; Soricidae
Product: U1 spliceosomal RNA
Exons: 1
Source: RefSeq, a predicted model, not a curated record
CUACGUACCUGGCAUGGGACAUACCAUGAUCAUGAAAGUGAUUUCCCCAGGGUGAGGCUCACCCGCUGCACUCCGGGUGUGCUGACCCCUGCGAUUUCCCCAAAUGUGGGAAACUCGACUGCAUAAUUUUUGGGAGUGGGGACUGCGUUCGCGAUCUCCCCGA